This is a long non-coding RNA of Cervus elaphus (red deer), 2368 nucleotides long. RefSeq lists it as uncharacterized. The transcript is spliced from 3 exons. The record is from RefSeq and is a predicted model, not a curated record. Lineage: Eukaryota; Metazoa; Chordata; Mammalia; Artiodactyla; Cervidae.
AACAGCAGGGGUGUGUGUGUGUGUAUGUGUGUGUGUGUGUGUGUGUGUGUGUGUGUGUGUGUAUUUAGACAGAUGCAUGUGUGCCCAUGUACUAUCUACACUCCAGUGAGUGUAUUAAAGGAGAAAGACUCCAUGAGUUUAUUAUUAAAGUCUUUAUUUAAACAUCUCCUGAAAAUAAGUGAAAUCAGCUAAUACUUAAGUAACACCCAAGGCACAAUUAGAUGUAAGUCCGUUCUUUAAACUUCCCUCUCUGGGUUUCCGAUGAGACUCUUCAGGAGACCCAUUGUUACUUUUCCAUAAGCAUAUGUAAAAGAUUAAAUUUUCUGGGACAUACAUACUUUAAAAGUCACUGCACUCUCAAAAUAACUGGCCAUCUCAACCGUGAGAGCAGCCACCUUCAUUUUACUCAGUUCAUGAAACACUUGAGAAUCUCAACCAUUGCUUCUUGAAUAACAGAAAUGAUCUAAUCCAUAGUCAAAGGUAGAACUCUCAAUAGGAUUCAGGGGACCAAUAGAGAGUUACUCAGUUAAAAUUUAAUUUGGGUGUACAGAAACCACAUUUCAUGGCAUUCGCUGCCACACCUAGUUUUCCUGGCUUUUCAUAAUUACUCUGAAAUGAAGAUUUUGAUUAAUUUUUCCAAAAGGCAAAAUGUUUCUUGCAUUCAUACCACUUUAGAAUGGUGAUGGUAGUUCCAAUAAAUUAUAGAAAAUUUUAAAGAGGGCUUAGGCAUCAACUGAAAAUUUCAAAGUUUAAGAAAUCAUUAUUUUAGUAAGUUCAGAAAUUAAUACUUUGCUUCCCAAUCACUUAAGUGGCAAGCUCCUCUUCUUUUAAAAAAAAAAAAAGAAAAAAAUAGGAAUGUGUUUUGGGGGAUGUUACAGCUUUGGGUUGAAUGAUUUACAACUUAACAUAGAAAACAGUACCUUACCAUUGCUGCAUAUGUUACAGAGAUUUUAUGACAGUCAUAGGUGUGUUGGAUUUUUAAAAUGCAAUGCACAAAUCUACUUCUUUGACUAGGUAUAGACACCAAAAUUUAAGAAUAGUGGGGAGGCAAUAUAUUAUACAAAACAAGCAAUGCCGAGGCUCCGAUUUAGCUCCCUGUCUGAAAGUGGUGACAGGUGGGAGGAUAACAUGCUGCUUCAUCAAGUCUUGUCUCUGUUACAAAAUGUAACCUCAAAUUAAUGGAGUGAGUCAGCACAGUGAAUACAUGAGACAUUGGGUGUGGUUCCAGAUUGGCCAAGCUUAGGAAAAUCACACUCUCCUCUUGCUUGAUUCUGUUUUCAUUUGACUGAUGAAAACGAUACCUGCUGACUGAAGGUAAUCAAUUAGAGCAGCAAAUUUCAGAAUGUAUCUUAUUGUCUUUCAUUAUCAUCAAUGCUUAACAAUUUUAAAAGGCCAUGGUACCUACACGUGUGCUAAGUCCCUUCAGUCAUAUCUGACUCUUUGCAACCCUGUGAACCAUAGCCCACUAGGCUCCUCUGUUCAUGGGAUUCUCCAGGCAAGAAUACUGAAGUGGGUUGCCAUGCCCUCCUCUAGAGGAAUCUUUCUGACCCAGGGAUUGAACCCUCUGUCUCUUAAAUCCCCUGUAUUGGCAGGUGGGUUCUUUACCACUAGCACCACGUAGGAAGCCCAAAUGCAAUGGUAUAAAAAUUUAAAUAUAAAUAUUCAAAGUGUAAAAUGCUUCUAAAAAUAAAUAGGUAAAUAGACUCAAGUCCUGUAAUAUCAAUAUCAGUGCAUAUUGGUUAGAUUAUUGAGUUACAACUAGUCAGUAGUCUGGAAAACUAGGUCUCAUUCAUAUUGAAGUUCCUGAUUUUCCUCUUGUCUAUAAACAUGGAAAACAGUAGUUAUAAACAAGCAAGAAAUAUACUAUAAGAUUUAGAAGAAGGUUAAGUCUUGAGAUUUAGGGAUUAAAUUAUAACCUCUAAUAAAGAUACUGGGAAAAAAAAAAAAUCCCUCCCCAAUUUGCAACCCAUGGAUACAGCUUCAUCAUGCAUGGGUGUGGCUGCCUGACGGAAUUCCCGCCUCUCUGCUCCUUUGCUUUACCUCUGUAAUUAUCUGGGGAACACACAGGUGAUGAUAGCAGAAUAAAAAAACCUGAAAGCCUCUAUUAUCAAUAAUUCUGUGUCAUGCCUUGUAAUAUUAAGUCAAACAAAUAUCUAAGACAUUUAAGGAAAACAUUUUCAGAAAUUAAGAUUUUUCCUUCCAUAAUACAACCACACAUUUUAACAGAUUGACUUUAAAACAAUAAAAUAGUUGGUUAAUAUACAUUACUCAAAAGAUUGCAUUAAGAUGAUAAAUACAGUGCUUUCAGUUUCAAAUGGAAAUUAUCACAUGCUAGGGAAUAAAUAUAGGCUUAUUUCCAAGUUAUUGC